This 422-nucleotide ribosomal RNA is filed under the name uncultured bacterium. RNAcentral's name for it is "bacterial SSU rRNA". It matches the Rfam family "Bacterial small subunit ribosomal RNA", at positions 207 to 622 of the family's 1533-position model. The record is from RNAcentral.
AAGACCUUGCGCUUUUGGAGCGGCCGAUGCCUGAUUAGCUUGUUGGUAAGGUAAAAGCUUACCAAGGCUUCGAUCAGUAGCUGGUCUGAGAGGACGACCAGCCACACUGGGACUGAGACACGGCCCAGACUCCUACGGGAGGCAGCAGUGGGGAAUUUUGGACAAUGGGGGCAACCCUGAUCCAGCCAUGCCGCGUGAGUGAAGAAGGCCUUCGGGUUGUAAAGCUCUUCCAGCCGGAACGAAACGGUUACGGAUAACACCGUGACUACUGACGGUACCGGAAGAAGAAGCACCGGCUAACUACGUGCCAGCAGCCGCGGUAAUACGUAGGGUGCGAGCGUUAAUCGGAAUUAUUGGGCGUAAAGCGUGCGCAGGUGGUUUUGUAAGUCAGAUGUGAAAGCCCCGGGCUCAACCUGGGAACU